AGUGAGAAUACUUUUUCUUCUCCUUUUAAUUAUAGAUAAAUUAGUUUGAUUUUAAUUAAACAUUAAGCGAGCUCAAUAAUUAUCAAAUAUACAAGGUUUAUGACGGAAAAAUACAAAAGACAGGGCGGCGUUUUCCCUCUCUUUCCUAUAUCUGCGCCAAUUUCUGCCAGUGACUCAAUUCAGUUCCACUGCUGUAGAUGCCGUCUUGUUCCUUGUUGAGUUUGAGAGAAAUCGUAACUGUUCAAGUGGGGAAUUAUGCCAACUUCAUUGGCUCGCACUUCUGGAACUUCCAGG
Molecule: long non-coding RNA, 294 nt
Filed under: Nicotiana benthamiana
Lineage: Eukaryota; Viridiplantae; Streptophyta; Magnoliopsida; Solanales; Solanaceae
Description: long non-coding RNA (NBEN_LNC032944)
Source: RNAcentral